AGGAGUGGGAAGUUAUGCACAAAUGGCCGUGUAGUCUAUUGAUCAAGAUUCUUGGGUGAACUUCUAUGGAAACAUAGGGAAGACACUGCUAUCUUUGAUAUGUGUAUCAUUUGAUCUUCUUUUCAUUUGCCAACAUUAUGUGCUGUAUCCUUCCAAGAAGGCAUUGAUAUCUCCUAAAAUGAUCACCAACAAGGAGGACUUGGAGCCCCUUGUCAGUUCUGAUAAUCACCGGCCAAGUGUCUGAAAAUGUCUAGAACUUUUGUUUUGCUGGUGAAAAUUGUACAAAAGCUUCGUUGGGCCCAAGAUGUAUGCUUUUAUUUUGUAAUGAUUCUGCAAAAAAGUAUUGUUCUGACUUUCUGGACAGUAUAACCCAUUUUACUUGGCCACUUGGCUCUCAAACUUUCGUUUGGGGCUUAAAUUAAUUGGGUUUUGUUUCUCCUUAAA
Rosa chinensis is the source of this 444-nucleotide long non-coding RNA. RefSeq lists it as uncharacterized. The record is from RefSeq and is a predicted model, not a curated record. NCBI's taxonomy places the organism in Eukaryota, Viridiplantae, Streptophyta, Magnoliopsida, Rosales, Rosaceae. The transcript is spliced from 3 exons.